This 227-nucleotide unclassified non-coding RNA is filed under the name Hevea brasiliensis (rubber tree). The record is from RNAcentral. Lineage: Eukaryota; Viridiplantae; Streptophyta; Magnoliopsida; Malpighiales; Euphorbiaceae.
GCACACGAGGUGAGCAAUCGAUGAUGAAAUAGCAUUGGUUAAAGUGUUAGGGACCAUUAUUCCGAUUAUAAAGCUAUAUAGAAAUAUGAGAAAAAUAUGAGAAAACAACACGUAUGACUAUUUAAGGACAGAUAGUGGACACAAUUUCGAGGACGAAAUUAUUUUAAGGGGGGGAAGAAUUAUAACACCCCAAUUUGUAUAGCUAGGUAUAUUUCACUGUUCCGGUG